GGAUUUGUCUUCGUUGUGCAUGAACACUUCCGGCGCACUUCAACAAUGGCUGAAUCAAAGGCUAGAUGUCACUGCUCUGUUCCACUUUCCCUGACACCAACCCUACUUAAGUUUUCAUGGAUUCCCGACUGAAUUGAGUCUAUGGAAGAAGUGGAUUCAAGCGGUUCGCCGGGAUGAAGGGCCAAACUUUAAAAUAAAACAAGGUAGCACGUUUGUUUGUAGCCGGCACUUUAGUGAAUCAGACUACACUAACGCUACAGCUAGCAACCAACCGGGGUCACACCAAGCGACUGAAAAUCGGGUCUGUACCCUCCUGUUUCCAGUGGAACAACUGGGGACUGCCAAGAAGUGGGUCUGUUUAUAAAAGAGCAUCAACUCGCUUAGGCCAUGACGUUCACCCAGCCCUUCCUCAUGAGCAACCGCUGCCCUGUGAAUAAGAGCCGAUGGAGGAGAUCGCAGCUUCGGUGGUGAUGACAGAACAUGAUUUCGGUUCUGCUCCUAAACCAGGUGCACUGGAUGCUGCUGCUGUACGCAUACAGCAAUUGGAAGAAACAGUUAAGGAGCUGAUGAGAGCUGUCACAGCUGAAAGUGGUUCAAGACUUCAAGUGCCUUUUCACAGAUUUUGUGUCUCAGACAAGGACAUCCUUUUUUACACCAGAUUCACAUCAAGAGAUGUUUUUUGUGACUUCUGGGAGGUUAUUCAACCAUCUACCUCCAUGUUGGUUUAUUGGUCAAAAGCUCAGAAAAAGAAACAAACAUUUGAACCCAUUUCUCCCAAUCCAACGUGUAUACUGCAACUGGUUGAGUUUUUUUCUCUUCUGAUGCCGGGUUGCUGCAGGCCUGCAAGAGAAGGUGCUGGCUGACAUGUUUCAGGUCAGUGUGUCCACUGUCUCCCAUGUUGUUAUACCGUGGGCCAACUACCGUUACCUGCUCCUUGGCUCCCUCCCCAUCUGGAUAAGUAAACAGCAAGUCCACCAUGCCA
Long non-coding RNA from Gadus macrocephalus (Pacific cod), 982 nucleotides. RefSeq lists it as uncharacterized. The transcript has 3 exons. The record is from RefSeq and is a predicted model, not a curated record. Lineage: Eukaryota; Metazoa; Chordata; Actinopteri; Gadiformes; Gadidae.